RNAcentral lists this ribosomal RNA (253 nucleotides) under uncultured bacterium. RNAcentral describes it as "partial 16S ribosomal RNA". It matches the Rfam family "Bacterial small subunit ribosomal RNA", at positions 524 to 776 of the family's 1533-position model. The record is from RNAcentral.
GACGGAAGGUGCAAGCGUUGCUCGGAAUCACUGGGCGUAAAGGGUGCGUAGGCGGCCGUGCAAGUCUGGCGUGAAAGCCCCGGGCUCAGCCCGGGAAGUGCGCUCGAAACUGCGCGGCUCGAGUGCCGGAGGGGAGAGUGGAAUUCCUGGUGUAGCGGUGAAAUGCGUAGAGAUGUGGAGGAAUACCGAUGGCGAAGGCAGCCUCCUGGGCCAACACUGACGCUCAUGCACGAAAGCGUGGGGAGCAAACAGG